CCCACUUAAACCAAUUUAGGCUGUAAGCCAACUGGCAGGGCUGUCAAAACAUUUAGCGAAGGCUCACUCUAACGUAACAGCUGCAAUUUGUAAAAUUACUCUGGCAAGCUAGCUGGGAGAUGAAAUUCCUUAUACAUACAUGUCCUAACUAUUGUGUCUAUAAUAUAAACCGUGAGUAUCCUUUAAAAAUGCAUUACUACCUUCAAAUUACUGAGCUGCUUAUGUGUUAUCUUGCCAAUCAUGACUAGUCACUGAAUUGUGAUUUGUUGCAAAUUAAAAUCCAAAAUUGAAAAAUUGUGUGGCCACAAUGGCCAAGCAGUGACUAUAGGGAAGUUGGAUAAUUUUCCCUGAUCAGCAAUUUUAGUCUUAAUUCUAUCCCUAUUUCAUGACUCCAGAAGUGGCAUAUGCGAAUCAGUUUUGGGCAGCUAUUUUAAUCCAUAGAGUGUGUAAUUGGGCGUUUAAUUAACAGACUGUGGCACAUAAAUAUUUUCUUACCUAAAAUUUGAAAAUUGUUGACAAAACACACUUUUUAGCCCAACAUUGCAUUAUCAGUUCUGCAAAAUUAAGUUCAGUGAAUAGACAUGUUCAUUUAUCGAUUGUUCCUCUGAAAGUGAUCAUCAAAUUAAGUUUGUUCUAGAAAAUUGUUAGGGUUCAGUGGAUUCAAGUGUCGGCUAAUUAACUGUUCAUACCUGGAGAUGUAUGUUUAAUACCUGGCAGGGUCAAAUCAGCCUUUAUUAUCAGCAUAAUAUCAUGAAAACUAUUCAAUUGUAUAUCUAAACCUGACAGUACUUUGAG
Non-coding RNA from Pelobates cultripes (western spadefoot toad), 795 nucleotides. The record is from the annotation of a GenBank genome assembly. Lineage: Eukaryota; Metazoa; Chordata; Amphibia; Anura; Pelobatidae.